RNAcentral lists this ribosomal RNA (484 nucleotides) under uncultured bacterium. Its description in RNAcentral is "partial 16S ribosomal RNA". It matches the Rfam family "Bacterial small subunit ribosomal RNA", at positions 29 to 507 of the family's 1533-position model. The record is from RNAcentral.
AGUGAACGCUGGCGGCAGGCCUAACACAUGCAAGUCGAGCGGAAGAAGGGAGCGUGCUCCUGGAUUCGGCUGGGGACGGGCGGGUGAGGCAUAGGAAUAUGCCUGUUAGUGGGGGCUAAGGUCAGAACGCGGGCGCUAAUACCGCAUACGUCCUGAGGGCGAAAGGGGGGGAUCUUCGGACCUCACGCUAUUAGAUGAGCCUAGGUCGGAUUAGCUAGUUGGUGGGGUAAAGGCCUACCAAGGCGACGAUCCGUAACUGGUCUGAGAGGAUGAUCGGCCACACUGGAACUGAGACACGGUCCAGACUCCUACGGGAGGCAGCAGUGGGGAAUAUUGGACAAUGGGCGAAAGCCUGAUCCAGCCAUGCCGCGUGUGUGAAGAAGGUCUUCGGAUUGUAAAGCACUUUUAGUUGGGAAGAAGGGCAGUAAGUUAAUACCUUGCUGUUUUGACGGUACCAAAAGAAUAAGCACCGGCUAACUUCGUG